Molecule: ribosomal RNA, 433 nt
Filed under: uncultured bacterium
Lineage: Bacteria
Description: partial 16S ribosomal RNA
Rfam family: Bacterial small subunit ribosomal RNA
Source: RNAcentral
AACGAACGCUGGCGGCAUGCCUAACACAUGCAAGUCGAACGAUGCCUUCGGGCAUAGUGGCGCACAGGUGCGUAACGCGUGGGAAUCUGCCUUUCGGUUCGGAAUAACUCAGGGAAACUUGAGCUAAUACCGGAUAACGUCGCAAGACCAAAGAUUUAUCACCGAAAGAUGAGCCCGCGUAGGAUUAGCUAGUUGGUGAGGUAAAGGCUCACCAAGGCGACGAUCCUUAGCUGGUCUGAGAGGAUGAUCAGCCACACUGGGACUGAGACACGGCCCAGACUCCUACGGGAGGCAGCAGUGGGGAAUAUUGGACAAUGGGCGAAAGCCUGAUCCAGCAAUGCCGCGUGAGUGAUGAAGGCCUUAGGGUUGUAAAGCUCUUUUACCCGGGAAGAUAAUGACGGUACCGGGAGAAUAAGCCCCGGCUAACUCCGUG